This 497-nucleotide ribosomal RNA is filed under the name uncultured bacterium. Its description in RNAcentral is "partial 16S ribosomal RNA". It matches the Rfam family "Bacterial small subunit ribosomal RNA", at positions 28 to 507 of the family's 1533-position model. The record is from RNAcentral.
GAUGAACGCUGGCGGCGUGCCUAAUACAUGCAAGUCGAGCGAACAGACGAGGAGCUUGCUCCUCUGAUGUUAGCGGCGGACGGGUGAGUAACACGUGGAUAACCUACCUAUAAGACUGGGAUAACUUCGGAAAACCGGAGCUAAUACCGGAUAAUAUAUUGAACCGCAUGGUUCAAUAGUGAAAGACGGUUUUGCUGUCACUUAUAGAUGGAUCCGCGCCGCAUUAGCUAGUUGGUAAGGUAACGGCUUACCAAGGCAACGAUGCGUAGCCGACCUGAGAGGGUGAUCGGCCACACUGGAACUGAGACACGGUCCAGACUCCUACGGGAGGCAGCAGUAGGGAAUCUUCCGCAAUGGGCGAAAGCCUGACGGAGCAACGCCGCGUGAGUGAUGAAGGUCUUCGGAUCGUAAAACUCUGUUAUUAGGGAAGAACAAAUGUGUAAGUAACUAUGCACGUCUUGACGGUACCUAAUCAGAAAGCCACGGCUAACUACGUG